This is a long non-coding RNA of Sarcophilus harrisii (Tasmanian devil), 1087 nucleotides long. Lineage: Eukaryota; Metazoa; Chordata; Mammalia; Dasyuromorphia; Dasyuridae. The record is from Ensembl.
CUCGUUUGUAGGGGGCAGCAGAUUUUCAUGUUAAGUGAAAACGCGACUAGGGAGGAGUGAGCGGUAGCUGAUUCUGUCCCUCGCGAGGCACCGUAGGUCUAGGAAACUCCAGGGCCUGGACUCUAUUUCCUGUACUCGUUAGCAUCUCCCAGCGUGAGCUAUAGGAUCAUGACUCGGGGCGAAUCUAGUUUGAUUCUGAGAACCCAGUGGCCUUCUGGCUUUUGUCGUUCUGUUUUAUUUAACUGACACCGUCAUCUAUCCUGGCAUGUCGGCUUUCAGUCCCCGGCUCCGGCCCAGGCAGCGGACUCUACCACCAAGCAAGCUCAUUUUACAGAUGAGGCAACUGAGGCAAACAGGAUGAAGUGAUUUGCCCGAGGUCAUAUAGCUGGUCAUGUGGCCGUGGUCACAUUUGGACUCAGGUUUUCUUUACCCCAGUCCCGGCCCUCUAUCCAUUGAGCCACUCGACAGCCACAAAACUUUAUGGUUGAAUAAUGUCCAAAGCAGGACCAUGCCUUGUCCCUUGGUAUAGCUGCCUGCCGGGACCCUGCCGGUUGAGAAGACAUUCUUUUCUCAGUGCCAGCCUCCAUUUCCUUAAUAGGACUUUGCCACUCUGAAAUCAGUCUUCUAGCAAAGCUGACUUCUCAUCCAAGAAUAAACUUCCAUUUUUCCACCCAAAACUCUUCGAGUUUUCUUUCACGAAGAAUCUGCGCCUCCGAGCAAAAGGAGAUUUCCACAACUCUCUGCCUGCCACUAGAACCCCAUCAUUCUGGCUUUGGAAUCAGUAAUCCCAAGAUCCCUCUGACCUCGGCGGGCUUUUGUUCUGGUAGUCCGUCCAUCGACGACUGUAAACAUCUUCUGAUCUAGGAAUAUAAUAUUUCUUCCCUUAGAUUUUAAGGAAGAUAUACGUAGUGAUCCUGGGCUCUCUGACCUUGGAGUGCUGUUGGUCUAACAAUCUGUCCACAAACAUUGCUGACUGUCAGAUACAUGAUUACAUGAUCUGCUGGUCAAUGAUAACCAACUUCCUGAGACCACUCCUCAGUUCUACCUCUGGGCCACAAAAUCAACAUGUCAGUGACAUGAAGCACCU